GGAGGACGCUGAGGAGGCGCCGAGCCGCGCAGCGCUGCGGGGGAGGCGCCCGCGCCGACGCGGGGCCCAUGGCCAGGACCACCAGCCAGCUG
Molecule: long non-coding RNA, 92 nt
Filed under: Pongo abelii (Sumatran orangutan)
Lineage: Eukaryota; Metazoa; Chordata; Mammalia; Primates; Hominidae
Description: lincRNA
Source: RNAcentral